GUAGCUUGCUACUUUGCUGACGAGCGGCGGACGGGUGAGUAAUGCUUGGGAACAUGCCUUGAGGUGGGGGACAACAGUUGGAAACGACUGCUAAUACCGCAUAAUGUCUACGGACCAAAGGGGGCUUCGGCUCUCGCCUUUAGAUUGGCCCAAGUGGGAUUAGCUAGUUGGUGAGGUAAUGGCUCACCAAGGCGACGAUCCCUAGCUGGUUUGAGAGGAUGAUCAGCCACACUGGGACUGAGACACGGCCCAGACUCCUACGGGAGGCAGCAGUGGGGAAUAUUGCACAAUGGGCGCAAGCCUGAUGCAGCCAUGCCGCGUGUGUGAAGAAGGCCUUCGGGUUGUAAAGCACUUUCAGUCAGGAGGAAAGGUUAGUAGUUAAUACCUGCUAGCUGUGACGUUACUGACAGAAGAAGCACCGGCUAACUCCGUGCCAGCAGCCGCGGUAAUACGGAGGGUGCGAGCGUUAAUCGGAAUUACUGGGCGUAAAGCGUACGCAGGCGGUUUGUUAAGCGAGAUGUGAAAGCCCCGGGCUCAACCUGGGAACUGCAUUUCGAACUGGCAAACUAGAGUGUGAUAGAGGGUGGUAGAAUUUCAGGUGUAGCGGUGAAAUGCGUAGAGAUCUGAAGGAAUACCGAUGGCGAAGGCAGCCACCUGGGUCAACACUGACGCUCAUGUACGAAAGCGUGGGGAGCAAACGGGAUUAGAUACCCCGGUAGUCCACGCCGUAAACGAUGUCUACUAGAAGCUCGGAGCCUCGGUUCUGUUUUUCAAAGCUAACGCAUUAAGUAGACCGCCUGGGGAGUACGGCCGCAAGGUUAAAACUCACAUGAAUUGACGGGGGCCCGCACAAGCGGUGGAGCAUGUGGUUUAAUUCGAUGCAACGCGAAGAACCUUACCUACACUUGACAUACAGAGAACUUACCAGAGAUGGUUUGGUGCCUUCGGGAACUCUGAUACAGGUGCUGCAUGGCUGUCGUCAGCUCAUGUUGUG
This 994-nucleotide ribosomal RNA is filed under the name marine bacterium AG6_004. RNAcentral describes it as "bacterial SSU rRNA". It matches the Rfam family "Bacterial small subunit ribosomal RNA", at positions 75 to 1069 of the family's 1533-position model. The record is from RNAcentral.